GAUGAACGCUGGCGGCGUGCCUAAUACAUGCAAGUCGAGCGAACGGUCGAGAAGCUUGCUUCUCUGAUGUUAGCGGCGGACGGGUGAGUAACACGUGGAUAACCUACCUAUAAGACUGGGAUAACUUCGGGAAACCGGAGCUAAUACCGGAUAAUAUUUUGAACCGCAUGGUUCAAAAGUGAAAGACGGUCCUGCUGUCACUUAUAGAUGGAUCCGCGCUGCAUUAGCUAGUUGGUAAGGUAACGGCUUACCAAGGCAACGAUGCAUAGCCGACCUGAGAGGGUGAUCGGCCACACUGGAACUGAGACACGGUCCAGACUCCUACGGGAGGCAGCAGUAGGGAAUCUUCCGCAAUGGGCGAAAGCCUGACGGAGCAACGCCGCGUGAGUGAUGAAGGUCUUCGGAUCGUAAAACUCUGUUAUUAGGGAAGAACAUAUGUGUAAGUAACUGUGCACAUCUUGACGGUACCUAAUCAGAAAGCCACGGCUAACUACGUG
RNAcentral lists this ribosomal RNA (497 nucleotides) under uncultured bacterium. RNAcentral describes it as "partial 16S ribosomal RNA". It matches the Rfam family "Bacterial small subunit ribosomal RNA", at positions 28 to 507 of the family's 1533-position model. The record is from RNAcentral.